Oxyura jamaicensis (ruddy duck) is the source of this 260-nucleotide long non-coding RNA. RefSeq lists it as uncharacterized. The record is from RefSeq and is a predicted model, not a curated record. NCBI's taxonomy places the organism in Eukaryota, Metazoa, Chordata, Aves, Anseriformes, Anatidae. The transcript has 3 exons.
AUAACCAUUUCUUUUCUAAUUUGUAAAGGUGGUAAUGCGAAUCAGCAGCUGUGACACGUGUUUAUCUAAAGAGGAUGGGGGGUUGUUUUUGUUUUUAUUUUUUUUUAUUUUCCAGGAAAAGCUUGCAAGGAAUAAGCACUCAGCCAUUCUGCAGUGAUCUGCCAAUGUGACCCAUUUGCUGCUAACACUGGCUUUUUAACUUAGUUUAGUAAUUUGAAACUCCUAGAGUAAGUGAAUCCUCAGCCCACAAGAACAGAGCA